RNAcentral lists this non-coding RNA (950 nucleotides) under Lacerta schreiberi. RNAcentral describes it as "partial small subunit ribosomal RNA". It matches the Rfam family "Bacterial small subunit ribosomal RNA". The record is from RNAcentral. Lineage: Eukaryota; Metazoa; Chordata; Lepidosauria; Squamata; Lacertidae.
AUAGUCUUGGUCCUAGACUUACCGUUGUUUUUUUAUCAAAAUUAUACAUGCAAGUUUCAACACACCAGUGAAAAUGCCCUAAACCCUUAAAAAGGCCAAUGGAGCAGGCAUCAGGCACUGUAACUCAAGCCCACAACGCCUUGCUUUGCCACACCCCCACGGGCUAUCAGCAGUAAUUAACAUUGGGCCAUAGGUGUAAGCCUGACCCAGUUAUGAUUUAUAGGGCUGGUCAAUUUCGUGCCAGCCACCGCGGUUAUACGAAAAGCCCAAAACAACUAUUAACGGCGUAAAAUGUGACUAGAGAUUUCUUAAUAUUAAAAACACUAAAACCCAUAACCCAGUUGUAAAACACUCAGGUAAUGAAGAAAACCAACAAGUAUUUUUAAUACUACAUUCUUGACCACACGAAAGCUUAGAAACAAACUAGGAUUAGAUACCCUACUAUGCUAAGCCAUAAACAUUGAUUAGCCAUUAUACAACUUUUCCGCCAGAGAACUACAAGUGAAAAACUUGAAACUCAAAGGACUUGACGGUGUCCCAUAUCGACCUAGAGGAGCCUGUCCUAUAAUCGAUACUCCACGUUUCACCCAACCCCAACUAGCACAAUAACAGCCUAUAUACCGCCGUCGACAGCCUACCCUAUGAGGGUCUAACAGUAGACAUAAUAGCCCUACCGCUAGUACGUCAGGUCAAGGUGUAGCAUAUGUUGGGGAAGAGAUUGGCUACAUUUUUUAUAAUAAAAAACACGAAAAGUACUAUGAAAUUGUACAUGAAGGUGAAUUUAGUAGUAAAAUAGAUAAGAGUGUCUAUUUUAACAACGCUCUGGGACGUGUACACACCGCCCGUCACCCUCCUCAAACAACACAAUCUACCUCCAUAAACCAAAAAAGUUAUAUAGAGGAGGCAAGUCGUAACACGGUAAGCGUACCGGAAGGUGUGCUUGGUCUAAC